CAGUAGCCACGGGAAUACGGAGGGAGCUAGCGUUGUUCGGAAUUACUGGGCGUAAAGCGUGCGUAGGCGGUUACUCAAGUCAGAGGUGAAAGCCCGGGGCUCAACCCCGGAACUGCCUUUGAAACUAGGUGACUAGAAUCUUGGAGAGGUCAGUGGAAUUCCGAGUGUAGAGGUGAAAUUCGUAGAUAUUCGGAAGAACACCAGUGGCGAAGGCGACUGACUGGACAAGUAUUGACGCUGAGGUGCGAAAGCGUGGGGAGCAAACAGGAUUAGAUACCCCCGUAGUCCCCGUCUCUUAUAC
Molecule: ribosomal RNA, 301 nt
Filed under: uncultured bacterium
Lineage: Bacteria
Description: partial 16S ribosomal RNA
Rfam family: Bacterial small subunit ribosomal RNA
Source: RNAcentral